UGCUUAACACAUGCAAGUCGAACGCCAAAGUCCCUUCGGGGAUGAGUAGAGUGGCAGACGGGUGAGUAACGCGUGGGAAUCUACCUGAUAGUACGGAAUAGCCCCGGGAAACUGGGAUUAAUACCGUAUAUUCUCUUCGGAGGAAAGAUUUAUCGCUAUCAGAUGAGCCCGCGUUAGAUUAGGUAGUUGGUGGGGUAAAGGCUCACCAAGCCAACGAUCUGUAGCUGGUCUGAGAGGACGACCAGCCACACUGGAACGGAGACACGGUCCAGACUCCUACGGGAGGCAGCAGUGGGGAAUUUUGGACAAUGGACGCAAGUCUGAUCCAGCCAUUCCGCGUGCAGGACGAAGGCCUUCGGGUUGUAAACUGC
Molecule: ribosomal RNA, 371 nt
Filed under: uncultured organism
Description: bacterial SSU rRNA
Rfam family: Bacterial small subunit ribosomal RNA
Source: RNAcentral